AUUGAACGCUGGCGGCGUGCUUAACACAUGCAAGUCGAGCGGCAGCGCGGGGGCAACCCUGGCGGCGAGCGGCGGACGGGUGAGCAAUACAUAGGAAUCUGCCUCAGAGCGGGGGAUAGCCAGGGGAAACCCUGAUUAAUACCGCAUGACGUCGAGAGACCAAAGUGGGGGAUCGUAAGACCUCACACUCUGAGAUGAGCCUAUGUCGGAUUAGCUAGUUGGCGGGGUAACGGCCCACCAAGGCGACGAUCCGUAGCUGGUCUGAGAGGACGAUCAGCCACACCGGAACUGAGACACGGUCCGGACUACUACGGGAGGCAGCAAUAGGGAAUAUUGGACAAUGGGCGAAAGCCUGAUCCAGCGACGCCGCGUGGGUGAAGAAGGCCUUCGGGUUGUAAAGCCCUUUAAGCCGGGACGAAAAAGCUACACCUAACACGUGUGGCCUUGACGGUACCGGAAGAAUAAGCACCGGCUAACUCUGUGCCAGCAGCCGCCGUAA
This 499-nucleotide ribosomal RNA is filed under the name uncultured bacterium. RNAcentral's name for it is "partial 16S ribosomal RNA". It matches the Rfam family "Bacterial small subunit ribosomal RNA", at positions 29 to 523 of the family's 1533-position model. The record is from RNAcentral.